GGGGAACUGAAACAUCUAAGUACCCAGAGGAAAGGACAUCAAACGAGACUCCGCUAGUAGUGGCGAGCGAACGCGGACCAGGCCAGUGGCUUAUGUGAGUAAAGUGGAACAAUCUGGAAAGGUUGGCUAGAGUGGGUGAUAGCCCCGUACACGCAACACGAUCAUAAGUCCUUGAGUAGGGCGGGACACGUGAAAUCCUGUCUGAACAUGGGUGACCACUAUCCAAGCCUAAGUACUCGUGCAUGACCGAUAGCGAACCAGUACCGUGAGGGAAAGGUGAAAAGCACCC
This 289-nucleotide ribosomal RNA is filed under the name Brucella anthropi. RNAcentral's name for it is "Ochrobactrum anthropi partial 23S ribosomal RNA". It matches the Rfam family "Bacterial large subunit ribosomal RNA", at positions 187 to 526 of the family's 2925-position model. The record is from RNAcentral. Lineage: Bacteria; Pseudomonadati; Pseudomonadota; Alphaproteobacteria; Hyphomicrobiales; Brucellaceae.